GGAGGAGUGUCCUAAUGGCGACGGGUGAGUAACACGUUGGUGACCUACCCCGAGAGGGGGACAACCCGGGAAACUGGGGCUAAUACCCCAUGUGAUCCUAAGGACUAGAUGCCUAAGGAUGAAAUGGAGCAAUUCGCUUCGGGAGGGGCCUGCGGCCUAUCAGCUAGUUGGUGAGGUAAUGGCUCACCAAGGCGACGACGGGUAGGGGACCGAGAGGGUGACCCCCCACACUGGAACUGAAACACGGACCAGACACCUACGGGUGGCAGCAGUAGGGAAUAUUGCACAAUAGGCGAAAGCCUGAUGCAGCAACGCCGCGUGUGCGAUGAAGGCCUUAGGGUUGUAAAGCACUUUUCUGGGGGACGAGAAAGGACGGUACCCCAGGAAUAAGUCUCGGCUAACUACGUGCCAGCAGCCGCGGUAAAACGUAGGAGGCAAGCGUUAUCCGGAUUACUGGGCGUAAAGCGCGUGCAGGCGGUUUGGUAAGUCGGACGUGAAAGCUCCCGGCUCAACUGGGAGAGGCCGUUCGAAACUACAGGACUAGAGGGCAGCAGAGGGAAGUGGAAUCCAGGUGUAGCGGUGAAAUGCGUAAUAUCUGGAGAACACCAGUGGCGAAGGCGGCUUCCUGGACUGUCCCUGACGCUAAGACGCGAAAGCUAGGGGAGCGAACGGGAUUAGAAACCCCGGUAGUCCUAGCUGUAAACGAUGCACACUUGGUGUUGGUGGCGUAAAAACCAUCAGUGCCGCAGCUAACGCAUAAGUGUGCCGCCUGGGGACUACGGUCGCAAGGCUAAAACUCAAAGGAAUUGACGGGGGCCCGCACAAGCAGCGGAGCGUGUGGUUUAAUUCGAGGCUACGCGAAGAACCUUACCUGGGCUAGACAUGUUCGUAGUAGGAAACCGAAAGGUGACCGACCCUUCGGGGAGCGAUCACAGGUGCUGCAUGGCUGUCGUCACUCGUGCCGUGAGGUGUCCGGU
This 977-nucleotide ribosomal RNA is filed under the name uncultured bacterium. Its description in RNAcentral is "bacterial SSU rRNA". It matches the Rfam family "Bacterial small subunit ribosomal RNA", at positions 81 to 1080 of the family's 1533-position model. The record is from RNAcentral.